Molecule: long non-coding RNA, 422 nt
Organism: Lolium rigidum
Lineage: Eukaryota; Viridiplantae; Streptophyta; Magnoliopsida; Poales; Poaceae
Exons: 2
Source: RefSeq, a predicted model, not a curated record
CUUUCUUCUCCACCCCACUCUGGCACUCUAGCUGAUUAGUUUAGCACACGCACCACCCAAACCACCUGCUUUUCUCCUCCUCCGCCCCCUUCUCCCCCCAAAUUCAGUCUCCACUACUCUUCCUCCCCUCCGCCUCUUCUCCAACAGAUCAAGGGGCGCCAGGAGCAGCAACAAGAUCGCCGGAUCGGCAGCUCGGCUCGUCGCAGGCAAGAGCGGAUGGAGUUCGUGCUGAUCAUAUCCCUGCCGCUCCUCAUCCUGAUCGUGAUCAUCGCCGUCGUCCUCUGCAUCGUGUGCCGCUAGCCAGAUGUCGACGCCAGAACAAUCAGCAGAUCGCCUCUGCUGUGACUGUGAUCAUACCAUAUGUUAAUUAAUCCAUGAUUAUUACAUCAUGAUGACUCGAUUAAAAGAAAGCUCUUCCCCUC